CGUGAUGGCGACUCUGGAAGUCAUCUGCAUGAAAGGGCCUGAUGCUCUUAUUUAUGGAGGAGACUACCCUGGGAACAAAGGACUAUCACAAACCUAGAKGUCUUCUACUCCAGCUGCAACAUAUGUUCCUGCAGUCUGGCUUUACAUCAGAUGGAUGGACAAACAGACCAGCCAAACUGUGCCUACUGGAAAAAUGAUUCAAUGAUCGGAUUUCCACACAGGGUUAUCCUCCUAAUAAUAGCCACUCUGUUUUCUUGCUCGUGAUCUCCACCAACAUCACUAUCCAGAUGACAGAAAAUUCCUGGGUUCUUGCUCUUUUACUUGGUGAAAUAUAUACAAACAUGUAAAAAAAAAUCACCAAUUCAUAC
Molecule: long non-coding RNA, 368 nt
Organism: Nothoprocta perdicaria
Lineage: Eukaryota; Metazoa; Chordata; Aves; Tinamiformes; Tinamidae
Exons: 3
Source: RefSeq, a predicted model, not a curated record